UGGAGCCUCCUCUACUCUUCAAAGACGUUGGUUCCUCUGUUGAUGCAAGUUCACAUCAGCAGAGAGGAAAGUCUCCUGAACCCAGAUGUUUGUCCAUGAAGAGUGAUCGGUCUAUGGGUCGAUGGUUUAACUUCAACGAUGGACGCCGUUCUUAUGACACAGAAGAGGACCAGGAGAGCUCAGAGGUUCCCACAGGUCCGUCUGCCCAGCAGCAUCAAAC
Molecule: non-coding RNA, 220 nt
Organism: Gasterosteus aculeatus aculeatus (three-spined stickleback)
Lineage: Eukaryota; Metazoa; Chordata; Actinopteri; Perciformes; Gasterosteidae
Source: RefSeq, a predicted model, not a curated record